RNAcentral lists this unclassified non-coding RNA (336 nucleotides) under soil metagenome. RNAcentral's name for it is "partial contains 5.8S ribosomal RNA, internal transcribed spacer 2, and large subunit ribosomal RNA". The stretch from base 1 to 120 matches the Rfam family "5.8S ribosomal RNA", at positions 35 to 154 of the family's 154-position model. The record is from RNAcentral.
GAUGAAGAACGCAGCGAAAUGCGAUAAGUAGUGUGAAUUGCAGAAUUCAGUGAAUCAUCGAAUCUUUGAACGCACAUUGCGCCCCUUGGUAUUCCAUGGGGCAUGCCUGUUCGAGCGUCAUUUGUACCUUCAAGCUUUGCUUGGAGUUGGGUGUUUGUCUCGCCUUUGCGUGUAGACUCGCCUUAAAAUAAUUGGCAGCCGGCGUAUUGAUUUCGGAGCGCAGUACAUCUCGCGCUUUGCACUCAUAACGACAGCGUCCAAAAGUACAUUUUACACUCUUGACCUCGGAUCAGGUAGGGAUACCCGCUGAACUUAAGCAUAUCAAUAAGCGGAGGA